This 468-nucleotide ribosomal RNA is filed under the name uncultured bacterium. RNAcentral describes it as "partial 16S ribosomal RNA". It matches the Rfam family "Bacterial small subunit ribosomal RNA", at positions 28 to 507 of the family's 1533-position model. The record is from RNAcentral.
GACGAACGCUGGCGGCGUGCUUAACACAUGCAAGUCGAACGGACAGGCCCUGCUUUUGUGGGGUGCUCGAGUGGCGAACGGGUGAGUAACACGUGAGUAACCUGUCCUUGACUUUCUGAUAACUUCACGGAACUGGGGCUAAUACACGAUAGGAUCUCCUGCUGCGCGGGGGGGGUUGGAGAGUUCCGGCGUUUGGGGAUGUUCUCGCUGGUUAUCAGCUUGUUCGUGGGGUAGUUGCGUACCAGGGUUUUGACGGGUAGCCGGCCUGAGAGGGGGGCCGGCCACAUUAGGCCUCAGCGAGGGACCAGACUGCUAAGUGAUGCAGCAGGGGGGAAUAUUGCACAAUGGGCGGACGCGUGAUGCAGCGACGCCGGGUGCGGGAUAACCGCUUUCGGGUGGUAAACAGCUUUCGCCUGUGCUGAAGCGUGAGUGACGGUAAUGGGUAAAGAAGCCCCGGCUAACUACGUG